This 254-nucleotide ribosomal RNA is filed under the name uncultured soil bacterium. RNAcentral describes it as "partial 16S ribosomal RNA". It matches the Rfam family "Bacterial small subunit ribosomal RNA", at positions 26 to 284 of the family's 1533-position model. The record is from RNAcentral.
AGGACGAACGCUGGCGGCGUGCUUAACACAUGCAAGUCGAGCGGAAAGGCCCUUCGGGGUACUCGAGCGGCGAACGGGUGAGUAACACGUGAGUAACCUGCCCUAGGCUUUGGGAUAACCCUCGGAAACGGGGGCUAAUACCGAAUAUUCAUGCUUCGCGGCAUCGUGGGGUGUGGAAAGUUUUUCGGCCUGGGAUGGGCUCGCGGCCUAUCAGCUUGUUGGUGGGGUGAUGGCCUACCAAGGCGACGACGGGU